RNAcentral lists this ribosomal RNA (376 nucleotides) under uncultured bacterium. RNAcentral's name for it is "partial 16S ribosomal RNA". It matches the Rfam family "Bacterial small subunit ribosomal RNA", at positions 355 to 747 of the family's 1533-position model. The record is from RNAcentral.
UGGGGAAUAUUGGACAAUGGGGGCAACCCCUGAUCCAGCCAUGCCGCGUGAGUGAUGAAGGCCUUCGGGUUGUAAAGCUCUUUUGGCGGGGACGAUGAUGACGGUACCCGCAGAAUAAGCCCCGGCUAACUUCGUGCCAGCAGCCGCGGUAAGACGAAGGGGGCUAGCGUUGUUCGGAAUUACUGGGCGUAAAGCGAGUGUAGGCGGUUGCCGUAGUCAGGUGUGAAAGCCUUGAGCUCAACUCAAGAAAUGCACUUGAUACUGGGUGACUAGAGGACCGGAGAGGAUAGUGGAAUUCCCAGUGUAGUGGUGAAAUACGUAGAGAUUGGGAAGAACACCAGUGGCGAAGGCGGCUAUCUGGACGGUUACUGACGCU